CCUAACCGUGCGAAGGUAGCACAAUCACUUGUUCUUUAAAUUAGGACCAGUAUGAACGGCCUCACGAGAGCUACACUGUCUCCCCCCCUCAAUCAGUGAAACUGAUCUCCUCGUGAAGAAGCGAGGAUACCCAUACAAGACGAGAAGACCCCAUGGAGCUUUAAACUUGUACCACCGUCUUCGACUUAUACCAAUAAACUUAGGCAAACAAUGGCUACGAGUCUUUCGGCUGGGGCGACCAUGAAGAAAAACUAAACCUUCACGAUGAAAGGAGACAACUCCUAAUCAAAGAGCUACCACUCAAAGAAUCAAUAAACUGACAUAUUGACCCAAUAUUUUGAUCAACGAACCAAGUUACCCUGGGGAUAACAGCGCAAUCCACUUCAAGAGACCCCAUCGACAAGUGGGCUUACGACCUCGAUGUUGGAUCAGGGUAUCCCAGUGGUGCAGCCGCUACUAAAGGUUCGUUUGUUCAACGAUCAAAACCCUACGUGAUCUGAGUU
Molecule: ribosomal RNA, 503 nt
Filed under: Platypelis sp. CaNEW3
Lineage: Eukaryota; Metazoa; Chordata; Amphibia; Anura; Microhylidae
Description: partial 16S ribosomal RNA
Rfam family: Bacterial large subunit ribosomal RNA
Source: RNAcentral